Non-coding RNA from Leptonychotes weddellii (Weddell seal), 117 nucleotides. The record is from RefSeq and is a predicted model, not a curated record. NCBI's taxonomy places the organism in Eukaryota, Metazoa, Chordata, Mammalia, Carnivora, Phocidae.
AGAACUCGCUGCCACCUGGAGUCUGACUCUAAGCAUGAAAAUGGUGCUCACGCCUGUCGCCCCAGCACAGUCUGCACGCGCCCGUUGUAGGGGAUCUGACUGUUUAGAGAGCAGCUG